GGCCCUUCGGGGUACACGAGUGGCGAACGGGUGAGUAACACGUGGGUAAUCUGCCCUGCACUUCGGGAUAAGCCCGGGAAACUGGGUCUAAUACCGGAUAUUCAACUUCUGCCGCAUGGUGGUUGUUGGAAAGUUUUUCGGUGCAGGAUGUGCCCGCGGCCUAUCAGCUUGUUGGUGGGGUAAUGGCCUACCAAGGCGACGACGGGUAGCCGGCCUGAGAGGGUGAUCGGCCACAUUGGGACUGAGACACGGCCCAGACUCCUACGGGAGGCAGCAGUGGGGAAUAUUGCACAAUGGGCGCAAGCCUGAUGCAGCGACGCCGCGUGAGGGAUGACGGUCUUCGGAUUGUAAACCUCUUUCGGCAGGGACGAAGCGCAAGUGACGGUACCUGCAGAAGAAGCACCGGCCAACUACGUGCCAGCAGCCGCGGUAAUACGUAGGGUGCAAGCGUUGUCCGGAAUUACUGGGCGUAAAGAGCUCGUAGGCGGUUUGUCGCGUCGUCUGUGAAAUCCUACAGCUUAACUGUGGGCGUGCAGGCGAUACGGGCAGACUUGAGUACUACAGGGGAGACUGGAAUUCCUGGUGUAGCGGUGAAAUGCGCAGAUAUCAGGAGGAACACCGGUGGCGAAGGCGGGUCUCUGGGUAGUAACUGACGCUGAGGAGCGAAAGCAUGGGUAGCGAACAGGAUUAGAUACCCUGGUAGUCCAUGCCGUAAACGGUGGGCGCUAGGUGUGGGUUUCCUUCCACGG
This 749-nucleotide ribosomal RNA is filed under the name Dietzia timorensis. RNAcentral describes it as "bacterial SSU rRNA". It matches the Rfam family "Bacterial small subunit ribosomal RNA", at positions 74 to 837 of the family's 1533-position model. Lineage: Bacteria; Bacillati; Actinomycetota; Actinomycetes; Mycobacteriales; Dietziaceae. The record is from RNAcentral.